Molecule: small nuclear RNA, 282 nt
Filed under: Marmota marmota marmota (Alpine marmot)
Lineage: Eukaryota; Metazoa; Chordata; Mammalia; Rodentia; Sciuridae
Description: 7SK RNA (ENSMMMG00000001947.1)
Rfam family: 7SK RNA
About the family: 7SK was discovered as an abundant small nuclear RNA in the mid-70s but a possible function has only recently been suggested.
Source: RNAcentral
GUAUUUGGGAUUGGCUAACUUCACUUAGCUUUAUCAGGCGGGUGUCUCCUUCCUCCCUCACCACUCCAUGUGCAUCCCUCCUGAAGCUGUGCACUAGGUCCACGACCUCCCCGGAUAGAGGAGGACCAUUCUUCUGUCAAGGGUAUACAAGUAGCUGUGCUCCCCUGCAAGAACCUCCAAACAAGCUCUCAAAGUCAACUUUGUUAUACUCUUUACAAUAUAUUUAAAUAAUGGAGCACCAAAAACACACAUACACACACAUAGCCUUGAUACUACUUUUGU